AUUGAACGCUGGCGGCAGGCCUAACACAUGCAAGUCGAACGGUAACAGGAAACAGCUUGCUGUUUCGCUGACGAGUGGCGGACGGGUGAGUAAUGUCUGGGAAACUGCCUGAUGGAGGGGGAUAACUACUGGAAACGGUAGCUAAUACCGCAUAACGUCGCAAGACCAAAGAGGGGGACCUUCGGGCCUCUUGCCAUCGGAUGUGCCCAGAUGGGAUUAGCUAGUAGGUGGGGUAACGGCUCACCUAGGCGACGAUCCCUAGCUGGUCUGAGAGGAUGACCGGCCACACUGGAACUGAGACACGGUCCAGACUCCUACGGGAGGCAGCAGUGGGGAAUAUUGCACAAUGGGCGCAAGCCUGAUGCAGCCAUGCCGCGUGUAUGAAGAAGGCCUUCGGGUUGUAAAGUACUUUCAGCGGGGAUGAAGGGAGUAAAGUUAAUACCUUUGCUCAUUGACGUUACCCGCAGAAGAAGCACCGGCUAACUCCGUG
RNAcentral lists this ribosomal RNA (490 nucleotides) under uncultured bacterium. RNAcentral's name for it is "partial 16S ribosomal RNA". It matches the Rfam family "Bacterial small subunit ribosomal RNA", at positions 30 to 507 of the family's 1533-position model. The record is from RNAcentral.